Molecule: ribosomal RNA, 207 nt
Filed under: uncultured bacterium
Lineage: Bacteria
Description: partial 16S ribosomal RNA
Rfam family: Bacterial small subunit ribosomal RNA
Source: RNAcentral
AGCGUAGACGGAUGGACAAGUCUGAUGUGAAAGGCUGGGGCUCAACCCCGGGACUGCAUUGGAAACUGCCCGUCUUGAGUGCCGGAGAGGUAAGCGGAAUUCCUAGUGUAGCGGUGAAAUGCGUAGAUAUUAGGAGGAACACCAGUGGCGAAGGCGGCUUACUGGACGGUAACUGACGUUGAGGUUCGAAAGCGUGGGGAGCAAACA